UAAGCGACUAAGCGUACACGGUGGAUGCCCUGGCAGUCAGAGGCGAUGAAGGACGUGCUAAUCUGCGAUAAGCGUCGGUAAGGUGAUAUGAACCGUUAUAACCGGCGAUUUCCGAAUGGGGAAACCCAGUGUGUUUCGACACACUAUCAUUAACUGAAUCCAUAGGUUAAUGAGGCGAACCGGGGGAACUGAAACAUCUAAGUACCCCGAGGAAAAGAAAUCAACCGAGAUUCCCCCAGUAGCGGCGAGCGAACGGGGAGCAGCCCAGAGCCUGAAUCAGUGUGUGUGUUAGUGGAAGCGUCUGGAAAGGCGCGCGAUACAGGGUGACAGCCCCGUACACAAAAAUGCACAUGCUGUGAGCUCGAUGAGUAGGGCGGGACACGUGGUAUCCUGUCUGAAUAUGGGGGGACCAUCCUCCAAGGCUAAAUACUCCUGACUGACCGAUAGUGAACCAGUACCGUGAGGGAAAGGCGAAAAGAACCCCGGCGAGGGGAGUGAAAAAGAACCUGAAACCGUGUACGUACAAGCAGUGGGAGCACGCUUAGGCGUGUGACUGCGUACCUUUUGUAUAAUGGGUCAGCGACUUAUAUUCUGUAGCAAGGUUAACCGAAUAGGGGAGCCGAAGGGAAACCGAGUCUUAACUGGGCGUUAAGUUGCAGGGUAUAGACCCGAAACCCGGUGAUCUAGCCAUGGGCAGGUUGAAGGUUGGGUAACACUAACUGGAGGACCGAACCGACUAAUGUUGAAAAAUUAGCGGAUGACUUGUGGCUGGGGGUGAAAGGCCAAUCAAACCGGGAGAUAGCUGGUUCUCCCCGAAAGCUAUUUAGGUAGCGCCUCGUGAAUUCAUCUCCGGGGGUAGAGCACUGUUUCGGCAAGGGGGUCAUCCCGACUUACCAACCCGAUGCAAACUGCGAAUACCGGAGAAUGUUAUCACGGGAGACACACGGCGGGUGCUAACGUCCGUCGUGAAGAGGGAAACAACCCAGACCGCCAGCUAAGGUCCCAAAGUCAUGGUUAAGUGGGAAACGAUGUGGGAAGGCCCAGACAGCCAGGAUGUUGGCUUAGAAGCAGCCAUCAUUUAAAGAAAGCGUAAUAGCUCACUGGUCGAGUCGGCCUGCGCGGAAGAUGUAACGGGGCUAAACCAUGCACCGAAGCUGCGGCAGCGACGCUUAUGCGUUGUUGGGUAGGGGAGCGUUCUGUAAGCCUGUGAAGGUGUGCUGUGAGGCAUGCUGGAGGUAUCAGAAGUGCGAAUGCUGACAUAAGUAACGAUAAAGCGGGUGAAAAGCCCGCUCGCCGGAAGACCAAGGGUUCCUGUCCAACGUUAAUCGGGGCAGGGUGAGUCGACCCCUAAGGCGAGGCCGAAAGGCGUAGUCGAUGGGAAACAGGUUAAUAUUCCUGUACUUGGUGUUACUGCGAAGGGGGGACGGAGAAGGCUAUGUUGGCCGGGCGACGGUUGUCCCGGUUUAAGCGUGUAGGCUGGUUUUCCAGGCAAAUCCGGAAAAUCAAGGCUGAGGCGUGAUGACGAGGCACUACGGUGCUGAAGCAACAAAUGCCCUGCUUCCAGGAAAAGCCUCUAAGCAUCAGGUAACAUCAAAUCGUACCCCAAACCGACACAGGUGGUCAGGUAGAGAAUACCAAGGCGCUUGAGAGAACUCGGGUGAAGGAACUAGGCAAAAUGGUGCCGUAACUUCGGGAGAAGGCACGCUGAUAUGUAGGUGAAGUCCCUCGCGGAUGGAGCUGAAAUCAGUCGAAGAUACCAGCUGGCUGCAACUGUUUAUUAAAAACACAGCACUGUGCAAACACGAAAGUGGACGUAUACGGUGUGACGCCUGCCCGGUGCCGGAAGGUUAAUUGAUGGGGUUAGCCGCAAGGCGAAGCUCUUGAUCGAAGCCCCGGUAAACGGCGGCCGUAACUAUAACGGUCCUAAGGUAGCGAAAUUCCUUGUCGGGUAAGUUCCGACCUGCACGAAUGGCGUAAUGAUGGCCAGGCUGUCUCCACCCGAGACUCAGUGAAAUUGAACUCGCUGUGAAGAUGCAGUGUACCCGCGGCAAGACGGAAAGACCCCGUGAACCUUUACUAUAGCUUGACACUGAACAUUGAGCCUUGAUGUGUAGGAUAGGUGGGAGGCUUAGAAGUGUGGACGCCAGUCUGCAUGGAGCCGACCUUGAAAUACCACCCUUUAAUGUUUGAUGUUCUAACGUUGACCCGUAAUCCGGGUUGCGGACAGUGUCUGGUGGGUAGUUUGACUGGGGCGGUCUCCUCCUAAAGAGUAACGGAGGAGCACGAAGGUUGGCUAAUCCUGGUCGGACAUCAGGAGGUUAGUGCAAUGGCAUAAGCCAGCUUGACUGCGAGCGUGACGGCGCGAGCAGGUGCGAAAGCAGGUCAUAGUGAUCCGGUGGUUCUGAAUGGAAGGGCCAUCGCUCAACGGAUAAAAGGUACUCCGGGGAUAACAGGCUGAUACCGCCCAAGAGUUCAUAUCGACGGCGGUGUUUGGCACCUCGAUGUCGGCUCAUCACAUCCUGGGGCUGAAGUAGGUCCCAAGGGUAUGGCUGUUCGCCAUUUAAAGUGGUACGCGAGCUGGGUUUAGAACGUCGUGAGACAGUUCGGUCCCUAUCUGCCGUGGGCGCUGGAGAACUGAGGGGGGCUGCUCCUAGUACGAGAGGACCGGAGUGGACGCAUCACUGGUGUUCGGGUUGUCAUGCCAAUGGCACUGCCCGGUAGCUAAAUGCGGAAGAGAUAAGUGCUGAAAGCAUCUAAGCACGAAACUUGCCCCGAGAUGAGUUCUCCCUGACUCCUUGAGAGUCCUGAAGGAACGUUGAAGACGACGACGUUGAUAGGCCGGGUGUGUAAGCGCAGCGAUGCGUUGAGCUAACCGGUACUAAUGAACCGUGAGGCUUAACCU
This 2902-nucleotide ribosomal RNA is filed under the name Escherichia coli. RNAcentral's name for it is "bacterial LSU rRNA". It matches the Rfam family "Bacterial large subunit ribosomal RNA". Lineage: Bacteria; Pseudomonadati; Pseudomonadota; Gammaproteobacteria; Enterobacterales; Enterobacteriaceae. The record is from RNAcentral.